CGCCUCUUGACCCACAUAAGAGGUCCAGCCUGCCCAGUGACUAAGUUCAACGGCCGCGGUAUCCUAACCGUGCGAAGGUAGCGUAAUCACUUGUUCUUUAAAUGAGGACUAGUAUGAAUGGCACCACGAGGGUUAUACUGUCUCCUUUUUUUAAUCAAUGAAACUGAUCCCCCCGUGAAGAAGCGGGGAUAAAUUUAUAAGACGAGAAGACCCUAUGGAGCUUUAAACAAUUACAGCACUGGCCCACAUCUCCCCUUCUUCCGAGAUAUAACUAUUAUACAGGCCAACAUGACUAUUAGUUUUAGGUUGGGGUGACCGCGGAGCAAAAACUAACCUCCACGUUGAACGGAGCUACUCCUGAGCUAAAAGCUACAUCUUUAAGCACCAAUAAACUGACAUCAAUUGACCCAAUAUAUUGAACAACGAACCAAGUUACCCUAGGGAUAACAGCGCAAUCCAUUUCAAGAGCCCCUAUCGACAAAUGGGUUUACGACCUCGAUGUUGGAUCAGGGUAUCCCAGUGGUGCAGCCGCUACUAAAGGUUCGUUUGUUCAACGAUUAAAACCCUA
This 568-nucleotide ribosomal RNA is filed under the name Dendropsophus mathiassoni. RNAcentral's name for it is "partial 16S ribosomal RNA". It matches the Rfam family "Bacterial large subunit ribosomal RNA", at positions 1817 to 2598 of the family's 2925-position model. Lineage: Eukaryota; Metazoa; Chordata; Amphibia; Anura; Hylidae. The record is from RNAcentral.